Molecule: ribosomal RNA, 1437 nt
Filed under: uncultured organism
Description: 16S ribosomal RNA
Rfam family: Bacterial small subunit ribosomal RNA
Source: RNAcentral
CUAACACAUGCAAGUCGAACGAAGCACUGUGGAUAGAGACUUCGGUCAAUUGAAGCUUUGACUUAGUGGCGGACGGGUGAGUAACGCGUGAGGAACCUGCCUUUCAGAGGGGGACAACAGUUGGAAACGACUGCUAAUACCGCAUGACACAGCGAGAUCGCAUGGUCUUGCUGUCAAAGAUUUAUCGCUGAAAGAUGGCCUCGCGUCUGAUUAGAUAGUUGGUGAGGUAACGGCCCACCAAGUCGACGAUCAGUAGCCGGACUGAGAGGUUGAACGGCCACAUUGGGACUGAGAUACGGCCCAGACUCCUACGGGAGGCAGCAGUGGGGAAUAUUGGGCAAUGGGGGAAACCCUGACCCAGCAACGCCGCGUGAAGGAAGAAGGCUUUCGGGUUGUAAACUUCUUUUACCAGGGACGAAGAACGUGACGGUACCUGGAGAAAAAGCCACGGCUAACUACGUGCCAGCAGCCGCGGUAAUACGUAGGUGGCAAGCGUUGUCCGGAUUUACUGGGUGUAAAGGGCGUGUAGGCGGGAGAGCAAGUCAGAAGUGAAAUCUAUGGGCUUAACCCAUAAACUGCUUUUGAAACUGUUCUUCUUGAGUAUCGGAGAGGCAGGCGGAAUUCCUAGUGUAGCGGUGAAAUGCGUAGAUAUUAGGAGGAACACCAGUGGCGAAGGCGGCCUGCUGGACGACAACUGACGCUGAGGCGCGAAAAGCGUGGGGAGCAAACAGGAUUAGAUACCCUGGUAGUCCACGCUGUAAACGAUGAAUACUAGGUGUGGGGGGACUGACCCCUUCCGUGCCGCAGUUAACACAAUAAGUAUUCCACCUGGGGAGUACGAUCGCAAGAUUGAAACUCAAAGGAAUUGACGGGGGCCCGCACAAGCAGUGGAUUAUGUGGUUUAAUUCGACGCAACGCGAAGAACCUUACCGGGAUUUGACAUCCUACUAACGAAGUAGAGAUACAUUAGGUGCCCUUCGGGGAAAGUAGAGACAGGUGGUGCAUGGUUGUCGUCAGCUCGUGUCGUGAGAUGUUGGGUUAAGUCCCGCAACGAGCGCAACCCUUAUGGUCAGUUACUACGCAAGAGGACUCUGGCCAGACUGCCGUUGACAAAACGGAGGAAGGUGGGGAUGACGUCAAAUCAUCAUGCCCUUUAUGACUUGGGCUACACACGUACUACAAUGGCGUUAAACAAAGAGAAGCAAGACCGCGAGGUGGAGCAAAACUCAGAAACAACGUCCCAGUUCGGACUGCAGGCUGCAACUCGCCUGCACGAAGUCGGAAUUGCUAGUAAUCGUGGAUCAGCAUGCCACGGUGAAUACGUUCCCGGGCCUUGUACACACCGCCCGUCACACCAUGAGAGCCGGGGGGACCCGAAGUCGGUAGUCUAACCGCAAGGAGGACGCCGCCGAAGGUAAAACUGGUGAUUGGGGUGAA